This 254-nucleotide ribosomal RNA is filed under the name uncultured bacterium. Its description in RNAcentral is "partial 16S ribosomal RNA". It matches the Rfam family "Bacterial small subunit ribosomal RNA", at positions 524 to 776 of the family's 1533-position model. The record is from RNAcentral.
UACGUAGGGUCCAAGCGUUAUCCGGAAUCACUGGGCGUAAAGCGUGCGUAGGCGGGUGUUUAAGUGUGAUGCGAAAUCCUGGGGCUCAACCCCAUGGACGGUAUCGCAUACUGGACGCCUAGAGGAAUGCAGAGGCAAGUGGAAUUACCGGUGUAGCAGUAAAAUGCGUAGAGAUCGGUAGGAACACCAAUGGCGAAGGCAGCUUGCUGGGCAUUUUCUGACGCUAAGGCACGAAAGCGUGGGGAGCGAACAGG